CGGUGGAAGAACCAUUUCGCGGCGCGUGGCGGGCCGGCUCGAUCGUCGCCUCCCCGGGUCAGAUUGUGCAAGGCCGGGAUGCCAUACGCGAGGCCCUGCUGCAAUUCUUGGCGCUAAAAGGAACAAUGGAGGUAAAGAGCAUUUUCACGGUCCGUGUUCCCGGUGUCGCGUUGAGGCGAGGACAAUGGAAGCUGAGCGGAGACCAAGAAAAGGCGUCAGGAACCAUUUCGCGGCGCCAGGAACACUUUCGCGGCGCGUGCGAUAGCGUCUCACCCUGCUUAUCCUUGACUCAAUAGACCUGUCCAUAUCAAAAACGUAAAAUAGGUCGGCUCCUCAUCGCACCGCGAGGCGUUUGUUGAUUCCCCUUGUUGUUGGCGUUCUCCUUGCUGUUGGGAUUGCAGCACUGGCCAAGUUCACAC
This 419-nucleotide unclassified non-coding RNA is filed under the name fungal sp. RNAcentral's name for it is "partial internal transcribed spacer region". Lineage: Eukaryota; Fungi. The record is from RNAcentral.